RNAcentral lists this ribosomal RNA (250 nucleotides) under uncultured bacterium. RNAcentral's name for it is "partial 16S ribosomal RNA". It matches the Rfam family "Bacterial small subunit ribosomal RNA", at positions 107 to 353 of the family's 1533-position model. The record is from RNAcentral.
UGAGUAACGCGUGAGGAACCUGCCUCAAAGAGGGGGACAACAGUUGGAAACGACUGCUAAUACCGCAUAAGCCCACGGGUCGGCAUCGACCAGAGGGAAAAGGAGCAAUCCGCUUUGAGAUGGCCUCGCGUCCGAUUAGCUAGUUGGUGAGGUAAUGGCCCACCAAGGCGACGAUCGGUAGCCGGACUGAGAGGUUGAACGGCCACAUUGGGACUGAGACACGGCCCAGACUCCUACGGGAGGCAGCAUG